CGUUAAAUUCAUUAGGGUUAGACUUUACUGAUAAAGGUGUACUUUUGGACUUACUUUUCGUCAUAAUAAAGUAAUUCCAGCUUCGAUUCUGACCAACAGCCUGGUGAAGUCUGAGCUUCUUCGUUGCUGUCCAUUGUUCAACAUGGAUUUGACAUAAGCGGCAGGUUUAUCGUGUAAGUUCGCGUAGUUGCUGUCCGCUGUGGCUCGUUGUUGCAGCCUAUGCUGGCGAAAGAUCUUUCUACAACAAGUUCAAUUGGUCGUUCCUUGGUGUCGUGUUACCGGUCGGGUCAAAAAAUCAGUUAAUUUAUAAACCUACAAACAUAUCCUUACCAAAUAAUCAGCAAAUCCCACAAACUUAUACCUUCCAAUUCUUCAAACUCCACAAACAUACACCUACCAAACCCUAAAUUUAUGCCCUAAACCCCAUAAACCAAUGUUAAACCAUAACGAUGUAAUAUCUGUAAUAAAUAAAAAUAAACAUUACAUGAACUAA
This 493-nucleotide long non-coding RNA is filed under the name Daphnia pulicaria. RNAcentral's name for it is "uncharacterized LOC124338397, transcript variant X4". The record is from RNAcentral. Lineage: Eukaryota; Metazoa; Arthropoda; Branchiopoda; Diplostraca; Daphniidae.